This 253-nucleotide ribosomal RNA is filed under the name uncultured bacterium. RNAcentral describes it as "partial 16S ribosomal RNA". It matches the Rfam family "Bacterial small subunit ribosomal RNA", at positions 524 to 776 of the family's 1533-position model. The record is from RNAcentral.
UACGUAGGGUGCGCGCGUUAAUCGGAAUUACUGGGCGUAAAGUGUGCGCAGGCGGCCGCGCAAGUCGAGUGUGAAAGCCCCGAGCUUAACUUGGGAAUUGCGCUCGAAACUACGUGGCUGGAGUGUGGCAGAGGAAGGUGGAAUUCCACGUGUAGCGGUGAAAUGCGUAGAGAUGUGGAGGAACACCAAUGGCGAAGGCAGCCUUCUGGGCCAACACUGACGCUCAUGCACGAAAGCGUGGGGAGCGAACAGG